This is a long non-coding RNA of Xenia sp. Carnegie-2017, 206 nucleotides long. RefSeq lists it as uncharacterized. The record is from RefSeq and is a predicted model, not a curated record. Lineage: Eukaryota; Metazoa; Cnidaria; Anthozoa; Malacalcyonacea; Xeniidae. The transcript is spliced from 2 exons.
CCUUUCAACUAUAUUAUCUUUAUCGCGUUCCAAUGCAUUUCCCUAAAGAAAAGACGAGAAACAGAUGAUGCAGGGAGAGAUGAACAGCAACGCCAAUGGAUUGGCAAGAAUUGCAACUUUAAUCAAAAUAAAUUAUGAAAUGUAUACGCACUAACCUAAAGAUCCUAUGAUGCUGUAGAGAAGACAAUUAUUGAUGGAAAUUCGUG